CGGGUGCUUAAGGAUGCAGGAUCCUGGUUUUAAUGACGGAAGCACAGAACGAUUAAGCCAUUUGUCAGACUUCGGAUAUGAAGGACUGUAGCAGAGCAAAUAGCAGAAGCCAGCUUUAGAUCUUUACCUGGAGUGGAAAGCCACAGGCCACUCAACAGAAACAACAAUACGAAGAGACUGCUGGGUGCUCACAGCACGGAGACAAGAGACUGCGAAUCAGGAAUAUGUUUAUCUGUCCUUGGAAGUAUCCUUGCUGUAUAGCAUUAAGGGGAUGUCCUGGGGACCCUUGGAUAUUUCAUGGAUUCAGGACCCCAUUAACACAUGCUGCUGCUAUACUUCAGUGCUCUCCCUGCCCACACUAUGCUGUUCCUGACAUUAAUACGACUAUUUACCUGAGCAGGGAUAUUCAAAUGUUACUGACUAGAACGUCUGAAGGGAGUUAAGCAAAGAUAAACAGCACUACAGUGGAGUCAAAACUAGAAGCAGGCAGAUGAAUAAAGACAUAGUUUUCUUCUGUUAGCCCUCCAGAGUCUGGAAUAAGGUCUACGUUGUUUAUUGCUCUUCUUCAAGUGAGAUCUUUAAAAUCUCUUAAACUCCUGUUAAGUAUAUGAGUUUUGCAUUUUCUAGCUUGGAAAAAAAAAAAAAAAAGAGAUUAUCUAAGAAAUAAAAUAUU
This is a long non-coding RNA of Tyto alba (common barn owl), 673 nucleotides long. RefSeq lists it as uncharacterized. NCBI's taxonomy places the organism in Eukaryota, Metazoa, Chordata, Aves, Strigiformes, Tytonidae. The transcript has 3 exons. The record is from RefSeq and is a predicted model, not a curated record.